Molecule: ribosomal RNA, 253 nt
Filed under: uncultured bacterium
Lineage: Bacteria
Description: partial 16S ribosomal RNA
Rfam family: Bacterial small subunit ribosomal RNA
Source: RNAcentral
UACAGAGGUGGCAAGCGUUGUUCGGAAUUACUGGGCGUAAAGGGCGCGUAGGCGGCCUUGUAAGUCCCGUGUGAAAUCCCUCGGCUCAACUGAGGAACUGCACGGGAAACUGCUUGGCUUGAGUUCGGGAGAGGGAAGCGGAAUUCCGGGUGUAGCGGUGAAAUGCGUAGAUAUCGGAAGGAACAUCAGUGGCGAAAGCGACUUCCUGGACCAAUACUGACGCUCAUGUGCGAAAGCGUGGGGAGCAAACAGG